GGAUGACACAGUAGGAUAAGCUAAGCACACUGUUGGUUAUGUGUGCCCAAGCAUUGAGGCAGUCAAAGUAGGCAAAUCCGCUUUGAUAAUGCUGGGAUGUGAUGGGGAGCGAAAUUUAGUAGCGAAGUAGCUGAUUUCACACUGUCAAGAAAAGUCUCUAUCGAGGUUAAAGGUACCCGUACCGCAAACCGACACAGGUGGGUGAGGAGAGUAUCCUAAGGCCAGCGAGAGAACUGUUGUUAAGGAACUCGGCAAAAUGACCCCGUAACUUAGGGAUAAGGGGUGCCACCAUCAGGUGGCCGCAGAGAAUAGGCCCAAGCGACUGUUUACCAAAAACAUAGGUUCUGCUAAGUCGCAAGACGAUGUAUAGGAGCUGACGCCUGCCCGGUGCUGGAAGGUUAAGGGGAUCUGUUAGAGCAAUCGAAGCAGUGAACUUAAGCCCCAGUAAACGGCGGCCGUAACUAUAACGGUCCUAAGGUAGCGAAAUUCCUUGUCGGGUAAGUUCCGACCCGCACGAAAGGCGUAACGAUUUGGGCACUGUCUCAACAACAGACUCGGUGAAAUUGUAAUUCCGGUGAAGAUGCCGGAUACCUGCGACAGGACGGAAAGACCCCAUGGAGCUUUACUGUAGCUUGACAUUGGGUCUUGGUACUACAUGUACAGGAUAGGUGGGAGGCUUUGAAACCAGGACGCCAGUUUUGGCGGAGCCAUCCUUGGGAUACCACCCUUGUAGUACUGGGACUCUAACCAUAGGCCAUGAAUCUGGUCUUGGGACACUGUCAGGUGGGCAGUUUGACUGGGGCGGUCGCCUCCCAAAAGGUAACGGAGGCGCUCAAAGGUUCUCUCAGUACGGUCGGAAAUCGUACGUAGAGUGUAAAGGCAAAAGAGAGCUUGAUUGCAAGACAUACAGGUCGAGCAAGGAUGAAAAUCGGACUUAGUGAUCCGGUGGUUCUGCGUGGAAGGGCCAUCGCUCAACGGAUAAAAGCUACCCUGGGGAUAACAGGCUUAUCUCCCCCAAGAGUCCACAUCGACGGGGAGGUUUGGCACCUCGAUGUCGGCUCAUCACAUCCUGGGGCUGUAGUAGGUCCCAAGGGUUGGGCUGUUCGCCCAUUAAAGUGGUACGCGAGCUGGGUUCAGAACGUCGUGAGACAGUUCGGUCCCUAUCCGUCGCAGGCGUAGGAAAUUUGAGAAGACCUGUCCUUAGUACGAGAGGACCGGGAUGGACGUACCUCUGGUGUACCAGUUGUUCUGCCAAGGGCAUGGCUGGGUAGCUAUGUACGGAAUGGAUAAGCGCUGAAAGCAUCUAAGCGCGAAGCCAACUUCAAGAUAAGAUUUCCCACCGCAAGGGUAAGACCCCAGAAAGACUAUCUGGUUGAUAGGUCGAAGGUGUAAGUGCAGCAAUGUAUUUAGCUUAUCGAUACUAAUAGGUCGAGGACUUGACCAA
Molecule: ribosomal RNA, 1444 nt
Filed under: Clostridioides difficile DA00261
Lineage: Bacteria; Bacillati; Bacillota; Clostridia; Peptostreptococcales; Peptostreptococcaceae
Description: bacterial LSU rRNA
Rfam family: Bacterial large subunit ribosomal RNA
Source: RNAcentral